Saimiri boliviensis boliviensis (Bolivian squirrel monkey) is the source of this 2297-nucleotide non-coding RNA. The record is from RefSeq and is a predicted model, not a curated record. NCBI's taxonomy places the organism in Eukaryota, Metazoa, Chordata, Mammalia, Primates, Cebidae.
AAUUUUAACAAAAGAGUAGCAGAUAGGCAGAACAACUAUUAUGGCUAAGACUGAGAUAGAGCUCCCAAUACAGAGCUUUCCCCUCCCUAGAGCUGAAAUCAAAUGUCUUUGGAAAGGGCACAACUUCGAUUCACUGGAUGGUGGAAAAGUCACUGAUGUGCCUCGUAAGUGGGAGCAUAAGUGGGAGUUGCUAGAAGUUUCUGGGGUACCACGGAAGCCAUCCACAUGAAAGUGGAGUCUUAGUCAUGAGAUUGAACUCACUGAAUGUCAGAGGGAGCUGAUGGGCACCACUGGAACUGGAAUCUGGAGAAGCAGCCCUCUAUAGGAGCCCAGCAUACUUGCAGGAUGUCCCUGGGAUUCUAGGGCUGAAAAGAUGUGGGGAGCAGCGACCUGGUUUGGUGUGCAGGGCCAUACUGUGUGGGAAAUCCCAGAUACACCAUCCCUAUCUCCAGCUGAACACUGGAGAAAAGUUGGAACCUGCAGCAUGGGAGAAACCACAUAGGAAAUAGCAUGCACGGUGGUGGGGGUUGGGGUGUGCCCUACAAGAGCCUAGAGAGUGAGCAUACCAGAACCAGCAAAGGAAAAUCCCUUCCUCCUCCAGUGUCCUUCCAGAACCCUCUGCUGAAAAGCUUUAACACUAGGCUGGUUAGCAAAGGAGACAUUUUUACAAAAUCCUUCUUCAUUUAUUACAAAGUAGGCCAAAAAAUGGUGAAUUUGGAGCUAAAAGGAAAUCAAUAAAGAGCAUAGUCUGCCCCUUUGAGUAAUCACUGUCCAUAUAUACCUUCUACACACACUUGAAUGCCGUACAAUAAUAACUCUACAUUUUACCUAACAGGAUACUCAUCAUCUUCAAAAUGAGGAGAUGCAACAAUCAUUGCAUACAGUGUUGUGGUUAUAUUAAUGGCCCUUCAGAAUCCAUCACAGUUCCACUGGAUAGUCUGUUGCCUAAAGACUAAUUGUAAACUUAACCUCUAGCAACUUGCAUAUCAAAUUUUUGAUAAUAGGAAGGAGCCAACCAGAGGAAAAUGUGAGCAUAUACACCUAAGUACAUAUACAUGAAAAGCAAAAAGGAAAUACGCAAAGUGACUACAGUCCUUUUUUCUGCAAUUGGUCACCAGGUCCUAACUGUUACCUAUGGCUUCCUUUUUCUGCUAUUCAUUGAUUUCACCCACCUUCAGCCAGAACCUGGUAGAGUAAUUGAAACUGUCACUUCUGAAAGGUCCAAGUCCUCAAUUAUCCUGCCUUUUUUUGUUUUGUUUUGUUUAUGCACUUUUCCACUACACUUUUCUAUUGCAUAUGGAGUACUAAUAUACACCCCAAACUGUCUCCUGAGUUACAAACAUAGUCCUCCUUGCCCCUAAUGUAUAAAGGCAGCCCGGUUUUCUCUUGGCAAUAGGGAUCAAUCACUCCACCUAGAAGAGAAAUCCACCUUUCUGCCGGUUGAUUCAGUAGCAUAAGGAAUCUGAAACUGCCAAGUGGAAAUCUUUCUCCAAUUCAACAGAACCAUUAUGUCUCAUGGUGGAAACACACUCCAUAUAAGGACUCAGAUCUCUGAAAUAGCAGAGCUCAAAGAUGCCAGAAGAAGCAAAUAUUCUGCAAGUGUGUUAUUAGUGUUGCUCUGGUCUGAAGGUUGGUGACGUCUCAAAAUUUAUAUGUUGAAAUGUAAUCACAAAUGUGAUAGUAUUAAGAAGUGGGUCCUUUAGGAAGUGAUUAAGUCAUGAGAGUGGAGCCCUCAUGAAUGAGAUUAGUGCCUUGGUAAAAGAGGUGCAAGGGAACUGUUCACCCCUUCCUCCAGGUGAAGAGCAACAAGAAGAGGCCAUAUUGGAAGCAGAGAGCAAGCCCUCACAAGACACUGAAUCUGUUUGAUCUGAGAUUUACCAACCUCAAAAACUAGAAACAGAACCAAUGGGAUGUACAUAAAAAGAAGUUUAUUGUAAGAAAUUGUCACAUGUGAUUAUGGAGGCUGACAAAUCCCAAUAUGUGCAGGGAGAGGGGGCAGGCUGGAGACUCAGGGGAGCGUGUGUUGAACCAGAGCCAAUGUGGGUUUGCAAAAACCACUGGGCAAGACAAAUUAACUCCACGUCUGCUCACAUCUGCUGUACAGAAAACCCAGCAUGACUAAUCUAGCCUACAAUUUGACAGAGACAGAACUCAUUAUAAGCAGUUAUUCUUCAGGUGCCCCAGUGAUUACCUGCUCAACCAACAGAACAGAAAGUGUCUUAAAGCCACUGCAUAAAGAGAGACCAUUCUGUAUUUCAAGGCUGGAGUUAUGCAACAAUAAAGCUGUAUCUUCAAGC